Molecule: long non-coding RNA, 647 nt
Organism: Hemiscyllium ocellatum (epaulette shark)
Lineage: Eukaryota; Metazoa; Chordata; Chondrichthyes; Orectolobiformes; Hemiscylliidae
Exons: 3
Source: RefSeq, a predicted model, not a curated record
UGAUGAUUGGAGCUGGCAAUGGGGGCAGGGUAUAAAAUCUUGACGAGGCCUCACAAGCCGGUGAGGUGGUUCGUCUGAGAGCCCAUACCAGAAAUAGCUGAAAACAUUCUAAGCAAGAGAACAAACGAAAAUUAUCACACGAUGGUUAUCUAUAUGUGUUUGAUAAAUGUAGCAAAAGCGACACUAAAAACCAUGAAGUAGUAAAAGAAGUGAACGGGCAUUCUCAAGGUGCUCAGCAUCCCACAUGGAUGUCUACAUCGAUGCUUUGUCGGAAGACUUACCUGAUGAACGUCAACCAUUAAUAAAUUGGUUCGAAGAUAAUUAUGUUGGGAGGCCAAUGAGACAAGACAAUGGGGAACGUUCACCACCUUUUCCUACAGAAAUGUGGAAUCUGUACAGUCGAACCAUAGCUGGUGAGGACCGAACAAUCAUGCUGAAGCUGCACACAGAAAAAUAUAUGCAGAACUAGGAAUUAACCAUCCUGUUAUAUGAGGAGAAUUCAAAAAGGGCGUGAUGCGUAUUAUGAACAGUUGAUUGCCGGGAAUACUCCAGAUCGAAAAUGUCUGAAAUACAUUAGGGCCGAUGAACGCAUUUUGAAUAUCAUACAACAGUUUGAUUCAUGGGAACCACUGGAAUAUUUGUGUGGU